Molecule: long non-coding RNA, 522 nt
Filed under: Homo sapiens (human)
Lineage: Eukaryota; Metazoa; Chordata; Mammalia; Primates; Hominidae
Description: HSALNT0103132
Source: RNAcentral
AUCAGCUGGGCCCCCUACACAGAGCUCAACCCUGAAGUCGGUGGACCCACCUCAGCCUCAACAUCGCCCCAAUCCACCACUCCCGCCACGGGCCUCUUCUCUGCCUCCCAGGUUCCCACCACUUUUCCUCCGCCCUGAGAUCCUAGAGAAAUAGAAGACAGGAGAAUCGGCAGUGAGUGUGGAAGGUGGCAGCUUUGGGGCGGUGUCUGAACAGAAGGACCUCCUUUCUCAGCGACCAGGAAGAUGGUGGAGGAGAGAGAGGCUGGGAGGCAACCACAGUCAAGCGGGGGAAAAUUCCUCAAACUAAACCAAAAGAGCAUCUUAAUAUGUGGCUCGGUUUCCGAACGUGUAGCUUGGAUCUUCGCUCUGCAUCUCAAAGAGACCUUUGAGACUAUAUUUACAGACUUUAGCAAGGAAGUCCAAACUAUUUUAACUCUGAGCCAGACUAGAAAAUUCACGGAGAAAUUUUUGACAGAGGAUGUGGAAAAAGCGCUGUAAUAGGAUUUUCAAUGGUGAGUGAAG